UACGGGGGGGGCAAGCGUUGUUCGGAAUCACUGGGCGUAAAGGGCGCGUAGGCGGCUGAAUAAGUGGGAUGUUAAAUCCCCGGGCUCAACCCGGGACCUGCAUCUCAUACUGUUCAGCUCGAGCACAUCAGAGGAGACUGGAAUUCCCGGUGUAGCGGUGGAAUGCGUAGAUAUCCGAAAGAACACCGGUGGCGAAGGCGGCGACCUGGGCCUGAACUGACGCUGAGGAGCGAAAGCUAGGGGAGCAAACGGG
Molecule: ribosomal RNA, 253 nt
Filed under: uncultured prokaryote
Description: partial 16S ribosomal RNA
Rfam family: Bacterial small subunit ribosomal RNA
Source: RNAcentral